CAGGACUUCAGAAAUACGUCAGGAUAUUUAUUUAAUUAGAUCUACGCAUGUAGCUCCAUCCUUGGCCAAAUAACACUGAUUUUAAGAACGUCCAGGAAGAGCCAUGGAAAUAUUUGGAGGGAAUUUGAUGUUCCUGGAUCUCCAGAGCCUGUACCACUGAGUCAAGGAAGUGACACCUGAAUGGACAAGACCUGUGGAAGAGCAAGGAUACCUGAGGUUUGUCUCCAAGAGCCCACGACAAUCAGAUGCCAUGAGGAAUCGCUGCAGAAAGAAGGUUGAGUGGAGAGCAGAAAUGGGAAGACUCGAUCACGUGGAAACUGAGUUCUGGAAGGGAGAAGAUGCCAACGGGGCAAGGAUACCUGAGGUUUGCCUCCAAGAGCCCACGACAAUCAGAUGCCAUGAGAAAUAUCUCUGGAAAAGAAGGUUGAGUGGAGAGCAGAAAAGGGAAGACGAAGACUCGAUCACGUGGAAACAGUUCUGGAAGGGAGAAGAUGCCAACAGGGUGAGUGGGUACUGUGGCCAUAGCAAAAUGAUACCUGAAGCUGAGUAAUCUGUAACGACUACACAUUUCUUGGCCCCAUUGUUCCUAACACUGUGAUGUCCAAGAGCUUGGCGAUGGCAGAGCCUUUGAUGAGGGUCUUCCUGCUGAAGGUGGAGGAGGCCAUCUCAAGGAGAGACAGAGGAAGGGUCUUGGAGAUCCUUGGCUAGGCCUGUUUCUUCACACCUUGGCAGGUGCCAUUCUGGAAUUUACUAAUGGGAGGCUGUCAUAAGUCAUGUGACAAAACAUAAAAUGAAUUGGCAGAUGGCUGGCCUACCACAUAUGAGGAGAACAUUGGAUGCUCAGGAAACUCCAGGACUGGUAAACACCCUGUAAAUGAUGACCUGAAGGUUCAGGAUCCUGAGGAAAAUUAAGAUCCACAAGGACCAGAGUCCUGAUGACUGAAGAGUAGAUUCAGGCCCUGUGUGGUUUCUCUUGAAAAGUGAAAGGAAUCAGGCAGGUACACCUGAGCUUUGCCAUCCAAGAGCAGGAGACAAUGGAUCCCAAGAGGAAAGGCCAGAGAAAGAAGACUGAGUGCAGAGCAGAAAGGGGACGACUUGGUCAUGUGGAAAAUGGGUGCAUAGAGACAGAGAGGAGGCCUGUGGGCAAGGAUACCUGAGGUUUGCCUCCAAGAGCCCAAGACAAUCAGAUGCCAUGAGGAAUCGCUGGAGAAAGAAGGUUGAGUGGAGAGCAGAAAUGGGAAGACCCGAUCACGUGGAAACUGAGUUCUGGAAGGGAGAAGAUGUCAACGGGGAGAGAACCUGAUGUUCCAGGAACUCCAGAGCCUGUACCACUGAGUCAAGGAAGUGACAACUAAACGGACAAGAUCCUGUGGAAGAGUAAGUUCCACCAGCACCCCAGUCCUGAUGACAGAAGAGCAGAUUCAGGGCCCAGUGUGGUAUCUGCUAAAACUGGAUGGGAUCACCAACAUGAAGAGGCAGCGAGCAGAGUGAGAGAAAAUAGUUCAAUGAUCUGGAAUCGUUCUCACCCAGAAUGUUGUUCAGAAGCUGGAUCCAUAACUUGUGAAUUGUGCUGCCUUCAAGAUGAGUAUUCGUGCAUCACCACGGCAAGGAUACCUGAGGUUUGCCUCCAAGAGCCCACGACAAUCAGAUGCCAUGAGGAAUCGCUGCAGAAAGAAGGUUGAGUGGAGAGCAGAAAUGGGAAGACCCGAUCACGUGGAAACAGUUCUGGAAGGGAGAAGAUGCCAACAGGGU
This is a long non-coding RNA of Sciurus carolinensis (gray squirrel), 1752 nucleotides long. RefSeq lists it as uncharacterized. NCBI's taxonomy places the organism in Eukaryota, Metazoa, Chordata, Mammalia, Rodentia, Sciuridae. The transcript is spliced from 12 exons. The record is from RefSeq and is a predicted model, not a curated record.